GCAUUAAUGGGGUAGUGGUAACCUGGGUCGUUGCCACCGAACGGCGCGCAGCGUCGACCCGCCGGGGGUUCGAUUCCCUCUUAAUGCA
Molecule: transfer RNA, 88 nt
Filed under: Thelephora terrestris
Lineage: Eukaryota; Fungi; Basidiomycota; Agaricomycetes; Thelephorales; Thelephoraceae
Rfam family: tRNA
About the family: Transfer RNA (tRNA) molecules are approximately 80 nucleotides in length. Their secondary structure includes four short double-helical elements and three loops (D, anti-codon, and T loops).
Source: Rfam by way of RNAcentral